RNAcentral lists this ribosomal RNA (2883 nucleotides) under Pseudomonas aeruginosa. RNAcentral describes it as "23S ribosomal RNA". It matches the Rfam family "Bacterial large subunit ribosomal RNA". The record is from RNAcentral. Lineage: Bacteria; Pseudomonadati; Pseudomonadota; Gammaproteobacteria; Pseudomonadales; Pseudomonadaceae.
GGUCAAGUGAAGAAGCGCAUACGGUGGAUGCCUUGGCAGUCAGAGGCGAUGAAAGACGUGGUAGCCUGCGAAAAGCUUCGGGGAGUCGGCAAACAGACUUUGAUCCGGAGAUCUCUGAAUGGGGGAACCCACCUAGGAUAACCUAGGUAUCUUGUACUGAAUCCAUAGGUGCAAGAGGCGAACCAGGGGAACUGAAACAUCUAAGUACCCUGAGGAAAAGAAAUCAACCGAGAUUCCCUUAGUAGUGGCGAGCGAACGGGGAUUAGCCCUUAAGCUUCAUUGAUUUUAGCGGAACGCUCUGGAAAGUGCGGCCAUAGUGGGUGAUAGCCCCGUACGCGAAAGGAUCUUUGAAGUGAAAUCGAGUAGGACGGAGCACGAGAAACUUUGUCUGAACAUGGGGGGACCAUCCUCCAAGGCUAAAUACUACUGACUGACCGAUAGUGAACCAGUACCGUGAGGGAAAGGCGAAAAGAACCCCGGAGAGGGGAGUGAAAUAGAACCUGAAACCGUAUGCGUACAAGCAGUGGGAGCCUACUUGUUAGGUGACUGCGUACCUUUGUAUAAUGGGUCAGCGACUUAUAUUCAGUGGCAAGCUUAACCGUAUAGGGUAGGCGUAGCGAAAGCGAGUCUUAAUAGGGCGUUUAGUCGCUGGGUAUAGACCCGAAACCGGGCGAUCUAUCCAUGAGCAGGUUGAAGGUUAGGUAACACUGACUGGAGGACCGAACCCACUCCCGUUGAAAAGGUAGGGGAUGACUUGUGGAUCGGAGUGAAAGGCUAAUCAAGCUCGGAGAUAGCUGGUUCUCCUCGAAAGCUAUUUAGGUAGCGCCUCAUGUAUCACUCUGGGGGGUAGAGCACUGUUUCGGCUAGGGGUCAUCCCGACUUACCAAACCGAUGCAAACCCGAAUACCCAGAAGUGCCGAGCAUGGGAGACACACGGCGGGUGCUAACGUCCGUCGUGAAAAGGAAACAACCCAGACCGCCAGCUAAGGUCCCAAAGUUGUGGUUAAGUGGUAAACGAUGUGGGAAGGCUUAGACAGCUAGGAGGUUGGCUUAGAAGCAGCCAUCCUUUAAAGAAAGCGUAAUAGCUCACUAGUCGAGUCGGCCUGCGCGGAAGAUGUAACGGGGCUCAAACCACACACCGAAGCUGCGGGUGUCACGUAAGUGACGCGGUAGAGGAGCGUUCUGUAAGCCUGUGAAGGUGAGUUGAGAAGCUUGCUGGAGGUAUCAGAAGUGCGAAUGCUGACAUGAGUAACGACAAUGGUGUGAAAACACCCACGCCGAAAGACCAAGGGUUCCUGCGCAACGUUAAUCGACGCAGGGUUAGUCGGUUCCUAAGGCGAGGCUGAAAAGCGUAGUCGAUGGGAAACAGGUUAAUAUUCCUGUACUUCUGGUUACUGCGAUGGAGGGACGGAGAAGGCUAGGCCAGCUUGGCGUUGGUUGUCCAAGUUUAAGGUGGUAGGCUGAAAUCUUAGGUAAAUCCGGGGUUUCAAGGCCGAGAGCUGAUGACGAGUCGUCUUUUAGAUGACGAAGUGGUUGAUGCCAUGCUUCCAAGAAAAGCUUCUAAGCUUCAGGUAACCAGGAACCGUACCCCAAACCGACACAGGUGGUCGGGUAGAGAAUACCAAGGCGCUUGAGAGAACUCGGGUGAAGGAACUAGGCAAAAUGGCACCGUAACUUCGGGAGAAGGUGCGCCGGCUAGGUGAAGGAUUUACUCCGUAAGCUCUGGCUGGUCGAAGAUACCAGGCCGCUGCGACUGUUUAUUAAAACACAGCACUCUGCAAACACGAAAGUGGACGUAUAGGGUGUGACGCCUGCCCGGUGCCGGAAGGUUAAUUGAUGGGGUUAGCGCAAGCGAAGCUCUUGAUCGAAGCCCCGGUAAACGGCGGCCGUAACUAUAACGGUCCUAAGGUAGCGAAAUUCCUUGUCGGGUAAGUUCCGACCUGCACGAAUGGCGUAACGAUGGCGGCGCUGUCUCCACCCGAGACUCAGUGAAAUUGAAAUCGCUGUGAAGAUGCAGUGUAUCCGCGGCUAGACGGAAAGACCCCGUGAACCUUUACUGUAGCUUUGCACUGGACUUUGAGCCUGCUUGUGUAGGAUAGGUGGGAGGCUUUGAAGCGUGGACGCCAGUUCGCGUGGAGCCAUCCUUGAAAUACCACCCUGGCAUGCUUGAGGUUCUAACUCUGGUCCGUAAUCCGGAUCGAGGACAGUGUAUGGUGGGCAGUUUGACUGGGGCGGUCUCCUCCUAAAGAGUAACGGAGGAGUACGAAGGUGCGCUCAGACCGGUCGGAAAUCGGUCGCAGAGUAUAAAGGCAAAAGCGCGCUUGACUGCGAGACAGACACGUCGAGCAGGUACGAAAGUAGGUCUUAGUGAUCCGGUGGUUCUGUAUGGAAGGGCCAUCGCUCAACGGAUAAAAGGUACUCCGGGGAUAACAGGCUGAUACCGCCCAAGAGUUCAUAUCGACGGCGGUGUUUGGCACCUCGAUGUCGGCUCAUCACAUCCUGGGGCUGAAGCCGGUCCCAAGGGUAUGGCUGUUCGCCAUUUAAAGUGGUACGCGAGCUGGGUUUAGAACGUCGUGAGACAGUUCGGUCCCUAUCUGCCGUGGACGUUUGAGAUUUGAGAGGGGCUGCUCCUAGUACGAGAGGACCGGAGUGGACGAACCUCUGGUGUUCCGGUUGUCACGCCAGUGGCAUUGCCGGGUAGCUAUGUUCGGAAAAGAUAACCGCUGAAAGCAUCUAAGCGGGAAACUUGCCUCAAGAUGAGAUCUCACUGGGAACUUGAUUCCCCUGAAGGGCCGUCGAAGACUACGACGUUGAUAGGCUGGGUGUGUAAGCGUUGUGAGGCGUUGAGCUAACCAGUACUAAUUGCCCGUGAGGCUUGACCAU